UACAGAGGUCUCAAGCGUUGUUCGGAUUCAUUGGGCGUAAAGGGCGUGUAGGUGGCGCGCUAAGUCGGGUGUGAAAUUUCGGAGCUUAACUCCGAAACUGCAUUCGAUACUGGCGUGCUUGAGGACUGGAGAGGAGACUGGAAUUCAUGGUGUAGCAGUGAAAUGCGUAGAGAUCAUGAGGAAGACCAGUGGCGAAGGCGGGUCUCUGGACAGUUCCUGACACUGAGGCACGAAGGCCAGGGGAGCAAACGGG
RNAcentral lists this ribosomal RNA (253 nucleotides) under uncultured bacterium. RNAcentral describes it as "partial 16S ribosomal RNA". It matches the Rfam family "Bacterial small subunit ribosomal RNA", at positions 524 to 776 of the family's 1533-position model. The record is from RNAcentral.